GUGUCAGCCGCCGCGGUAAUACGGAGGGUGCAAGCGUUAAUCGGAAUUACUGGGCGUAAAGGGCGCGUAGGCGGUUUGGUAAGCGAGUUGUGAAAGCCCCGGGCUCAACCUGGGAAUGGCAAUUCGAACUGCCAGGCUAGAAUGCAGCAGAGGGCAGUGGAAUUCCAGGUGUAGCGGUGAAAUGCGUAGAUAUCCGGAGGAACACCAGUGGCGAAGGCGACUGCCUGGGCUGACAUUGACGCUGAGGUGCGAAAGCGUGGGUAGCAAACAG
RNAcentral lists this ribosomal RNA (271 nucleotides) under uncultured prokaryote. Its description in RNAcentral is "partial 16S ribosomal RNA". It matches the Rfam family "Bacterial small subunit ribosomal RNA", at positions 505 to 775 of the family's 1533-position model. The record is from RNAcentral.